This 1007-nucleotide long non-coding RNA is filed under the name Homo sapiens (human). Its description in RNAcentral is "non-protein coding lnc-EBLN1-3:2". The record is from RNAcentral. Lineage: Eukaryota; Metazoa; Chordata; Mammalia; Primates; Hominidae.
AGUGCGGAAGCGCCCAGCGGGCCGGGGGUUCCCUCCCGCGGGGCCUCCCGGGGCGGACCCGGGUGCGGCGGCCGAGAUGCGGGCGGUGGAGGGGGCAGGCCCCGACUCUUUCGCUCCCUCCGCGCCGCGGGCCGCCGGCCUGAGCUGGGAAAGGCGCGGCGGGCGGCUGGCGAGGAAGGAGGCCUCUGUCCUUUCACUUUGCUUCCCGGGCCAGGCCUCCAGCUGGAGCCGCACUGCCGCUCGGGGGCCGGGGCGAAGGUCCCUGCCGGAGCCUCCCGGAGGAGCGGCUGCCCCGCGGGCGGGGGAACGGUGCGGCCAACUCGCGGGGGCGAGCCCGGAGCCGGCGGAGACCGGAACCCGGGAACCCAGGCCCCGCGGCGCUAGCGCUGCCAGAAAACUCGCUGCGGCCGCGCCGGUCGGCCUACUUCGCCCCGGCUGUCCGCGCGCGGGACGUAGAAGAGCGCCCUGGCCGGGAAAGGUGGGGAGGGGCUUCAGGCUCUUUCUUGCUGGAGUAGGGUGCGGAAUCCCGUACCGCUUUACAGCUGCUGGCCCCCUAGGACCCCGCGGCGCAGGCCGGAUCCCAGAGGCGGGGAUAGGAGCCAAUAGCUGAUACAGACAAAAAAAUAAAAAGCAGCUGUACCUCAUUGCGCAUGUGCGAGCUUCGUUUUUUUUUUUAAUUUUUUGACGUCAUUUCGCGAUAUCAAGUCCCAAGCCAAAAUGUCUUGUGCGUUGGUUACUCUGAAGAAUAAUGGACUGUAUGUUCUGACUCCUGGAAAUUACUGCAAAAAGAUUAUCUGAGCCGAGAGUGAGCUCCGCUAAAACGUAGGCUAAAUUCGAGGACACGGUGGCACUACAUCUCAUUCUUUCAGAGGAGAUGCUUGCACUACAGUUUGGACCCUUGCUUUUUGACAUUUCAGAGAAAACAUCUAAAUAUUGCUAAAGCUGGAUUACUUUACCUCCUACUCCAAUAUUACCUAAUUUUUUUACGGUGAAAAAAUAAAAGUUCC